GUGUCAGCCGCCGCGGUAAGACGAGGGAUCCUAGCGUUGUUCGGAAUUAUUGGGCGUAAAGCGGGUGUAGGUGGCUUUGUAAGUCAGGUGUGAAAGCCCAGGGCUCAACCCUGGAAGUGCAUUUGAUACUGCGAAGCUUGAGUGUAGGAGAGGUUACUAGAAUUCUUGGUGUAGUGGUGAAAUACGUAGAUAUCAAGAGGAAUACCGGAGGCGAAAGCGGGUAACUGGCCUAACACUGACACUCAGACCCGAAAGCGUGGGGAUCAAACAGGAUUAGAUACCCUGGUAGUCCACGCCGUAAACGAUGGAUACUUGUUGUUGGAGGUAUUGACCCCUUCAGUGACGAAGCUAACGCGUUAAGUAUCCCGCCUGGGGAGUACGGUCGCAAGAUUAAAACUUAAAGAAAUUGACGG
RNAcentral lists this ribosomal RNA (413 nucleotides) under uncultured bacterium. RNAcentral describes it as "bacterial SSU rRNA". It matches the Rfam family "Bacterial small subunit ribosomal RNA", at positions 505 to 916 of the family's 1533-position model. The record is from RNAcentral.